AUACGGAGGGUGCGAGCGUUGUCCGGAUUUAUUGGGUUUAAAGGGUGUGUAGGCGGUGUAUUAAGUCAGUGGUGAAAGCCUGCGGCUCAACCGUAGAACUGCCAUUGAUACUGACACACUUGAGUUUGGUUGAGGUAGGCGGAAUUUAUGGUGUAGCGGUGAAAUGCAUAGAUACCAUAAAGAACACCGAUAGCGAAGGCAGCUUACUAAGCCGAAACUGACGCUGAGGCACGAAAGCGUGGGGAGCGAACAGGAUUAGAAACCCGUGUAGUCC
This 274-nucleotide ribosomal RNA is filed under the name uncultured bacterium. RNAcentral describes it as "partial 16S ribosomal RNA". It matches the Rfam family "Bacterial small subunit ribosomal RNA", at positions 523 to 796 of the family's 1533-position model. The record is from RNAcentral.